CGUCUGAUAGCUCAGUGGUCUAGAGCAGUCGCCCGGCAAGCGAAAGACCCGGGUUCGAUUCCCGGUCUAGCGA
This 73-nucleotide transfer RNA is filed under the name Harpegnathos saltator (Jerdon's jumping ant). It matches the Rfam family "tRNA". From Rfam's summary of the family: Transfer RNA (tRNA) molecules are approximately 80 nucleotides in length. Their secondary structure includes four short double-helical elements and three loops (D, anti-codon, and T loops). Further hydrogen bonds mediate the characteristic L-shaped molecular structure. tRNAs have two regions of fundamental functional importance: the anti-codon, which is responsible for specific mRNA codon recognition, and the 3' end, to which the tRNAs corresponding amino acid is attached (by aminoacyl-tRNA synthetases). tRNAs cope with the degeneracy of the genetic code in two manners: having more than one tRNA (with a specific anti-codon) for a particular amino acid; and 'wobble' base-pairing, i.e. permitting non-standard base-pairing at the 3rd anti-codon position. The record is from Rfam by way of RNAcentral. Lineage: Eukaryota; Metazoa; Arthropoda; Insecta; Hymenoptera; Formicidae.